GUGUACGUACAAGCAGUGGGAGCACCUUCGUGGUGUGACUGCGUACCUUUUGUAUAAUGGGUCAGCGACUUACAUUUUGUAGCGAGGUUAACCGAAUAGGGGAGCCGUAGGGAAACCGAGUCUUAAUAGGGCGAAUUAGUUGCAAGGUGUAGACCCGAAACCCGGUGAUCUAGCCAUGGGCAGGUUGAAGGUUGGGUAACACUAACUGGAGGACCGAACCGACUAAUGUUGAAAAAUUAGCGGAUGACUUGUGGCUGGGGGUGAAAGGCCAAUCAAACCGGGAGAUAGCUGGUUCUCCCCGAAAGCUAUUUAGGUAGCGCCUCGGACGAACACCUACGGGGGUAGAGCACUGUUAAGGCUAGGGGGUCAUCCCGACUUACCAACCCUUUGCAAACUCCGAAUACCGUAGAGUGCUAUCCGGGAGACACACGGCGGGUGCUAACGUCCGUCGUGAAGAGGGAAACAACCCAGACCGCCAGCUAAGGUCCCAAAGUCAUGGUUAAGUGGGAAACGAUGUGGGAAGGCUUAGACAGCUAGGAUGUUGGCUUAGAAGCAGCCAUCAUUUAAAGAAAGCGUAAUAGCUCACUAGUCGAGUCGGCCUGCGCGGAAGAUGUAACGGGGCUAAACCAUGCACCGAAGCUGCGGCAAUGAC
Molecule: ribosomal RNA, 652 nt
Filed under: Plesiomonas shigelloides
Lineage: Bacteria; Pseudomonadati; Pseudomonadota; Gammaproteobacteria; Enterobacterales; Enterobacteriaceae
Description: partial 23S ribosomal RNA
Rfam family: Bacterial large subunit ribosomal RNA
Source: RNAcentral